GCAAAUAGACAAAUAAAAAAGAGCAUACAGACAAAUUCUCUAAAACAAUUCCAUUUCUUGCUACAGGUUUAUAUAACACAUUGACAAGUGGUAUAGCAAAGAGCUUCUAAGUAUUUGAGAUGGCUCCUCUGACAGCUGAGAAGCAAUCAAUGAUCUGGAUUGUAGUCUUUUGUACCUAAGGAGAUGGAGACCAUGAAUACCUACAGCAGCCUGGGAAGCAUCAUGGUGACAAGUUCCUCCUUUUGAAAUGGAUGUUCUGUGCUCCCAAUAGUUCAGACCAUGACUUGCUGCAAGAAGCUCAAUACCUAGAAAGUGAACCUGAGGAGAAGGAGGGACUGAUGCAUAUGUACCUGCCACAUGGGCAGUAUCUGGAUCUCACUCGUGAAAGACGAGUACCAGUCCAGUACUCAGGGACAGCAAGAUGAAAUCUAUGACAGCACUGAGGGCCUAGUAAAGAUGACCAAGGCAGAGAGAUGAACUCUGUUUCUGAACCACAUCACUGAAGAGUUUAGAUAGAAAAGAUGCUUGAAAUAUGCCUUAAAUCACGAAUGACUUUCCCAGGAAAAGAAUGGAGAAGAAAAUUCUUGUUCAGUUGAAUCAGCAUGGCUCUGGAUUGAGUGGUUACAUGAGUGAGGUCAUUUUGUGCUUGCAUCAGAAAUGUUAAUGUGGCCCUGACCUUGAAGAAUAAACUGUGUCUUUAGGGAAUUGUUCCCUUCCAAUGUCUUAUUUUCAACCUUUUGAGCUUAGACAUUAUUUAGGUGGAUGGGUGGACACAUACAUAAAUUAAAACAAGAUAUAAAAAUAAGUUGAAACAGAAUAGGAGAGAAUAAUUUUAAAGAGAUAAUCUCUGGCUACCUGAGUAUGUGUGAGACCUUAAUCUAAUCUGAAGCAGCAUUGCC
Molecule: long non-coding RNA, 899 nt
Filed under: Chinchilla lanigera (long-tailed chinchilla)
Lineage: Eukaryota; Metazoa; Chordata; Mammalia; Rodentia; Chinchillidae
Description: lncRNA (ENSCLAG00000028846.1)
Source: RNAcentral